ACACUUACCUGGCGAGGAGAUACUAUGACCACAAAGGUGAUUUUCCCCAGGUGAGGCUUAUCCAUUACACUCCGGGUGUGCUGACCCCUGAGAUUUCCCCAAAUGUGGGCCACUCGACUGCACGAUUAGUGGUAGUGGGGGACUGUGUUCAUGUUCUCCCCUA
This is a small nuclear RNA of Phyllostomus discolor (pale spear-nosed bat), 163 nucleotides long. RefSeq annotates it as U1 spliceosomal RNA. The record is from RefSeq and is a predicted model, not a curated record. NCBI's taxonomy places the organism in Eukaryota, Metazoa, Chordata, Mammalia, Chiroptera, Phyllostomidae. The transcript has a single exon.